GCCUGGGUGGCUCAGUCGGUUGAGCGUCCGACUUCAGCUCAGGUCAUGAUUUCAUGGUUUGUGGGUUCCAGCCCCGCGUCGGGCU
This is a non-coding RNA of Felis catus (domestic cat), 85 nucleotides long. NCBI's taxonomy places the organism in Eukaryota, Metazoa, Chordata, Mammalia, Carnivora, Felidae. The record is from Rfam.